RNAcentral lists this small RNA (866 nucleotides) under Pongo abelii (Sumatran orangutan). RNAcentral describes it as "processed transcript". Lineage: Eukaryota; Metazoa; Chordata; Mammalia; Primates; Hominidae. The record is from RNAcentral.
AAAGUCGGCCCAGCAGAUGAGGAAGUGGCAGGCAGGCAGGCUGGCCCCGGGGACUUCUCUCUGGCCCUGCUCCCUCCGAGCGCUCCGCCGUUGCCCGCCUGGCCCCUACGGAGUCCUUAGCCAGGAUGGAGGCUGUUGUGAACUUGUACCAAGAGAUGAUGAAGCACGCAGAUCCCCGGAUCCAGGGCUACCCUCUGAUGGGGUCCCCUUUGCUAAUGACCUCCAUCCUCCUGACCUACGUGUACUUCGUUCUCUCACUUGGGCCUCGCAUCAUGGCUAAUCGGAAGCCCUUCCAGCUCCGUGGCUUCAUGAUUGUCUACAACUUCUCACUGGUGGCACUCUCCCUCUACAUUGUCUAUGAGUUCCUGAUGUCGGGCUGGCUGAGCACCUAUACCUGGCGCUGUGACCCUGUGGACUAUUCCAACAGCCCUGAGGCACUUAGGAUGGUUCGGGUGGCCUGGCUCUUCCUCUUCUCCAAGUUCAUUGAGCUGAUGGACACAAUCCAGUUUGUCCUGGUCUCACUGCACAUCUCCCAGUACUACUUUAUGUCCACCUGUAACUACCAGUACCCAGUCAUUAUUCACCUCAUCUGGAUGUAUGGCACCAUCUUCUUCGUGCUGUUCUCCAACUUCUGGUAUCACUCUUAUACCAAGGGCAAGCGGCUGCCCCGUGCACUUCAGCAAAAUGGAGCUCCAGGUAUUGCCAAGGUCAAGGCCAACUGAGAAGCAUGGCCCAGAUAGGCGCCCACCUAAGUGCCUCAGGACUGCACCUUGGGCAGCGUCCGUCAGUGCCCUCUCCACCUACACCUGUGACCAAGGCUUAUGUGGUCAGGACUGAGCAGGGGACUGGCCCUCCCCUCCCCACAG